UCAGAUGAUAUGGACCCCAAGAGAUGAGCGAGAACCUCCAAUUGCUUAGGGGUCGCACUCUGUCCCGCUUGGUGGACGAAAUCUUCUCUCCUUUUAGAAUUCUUUCUCCCACACGCCUUUGCCCUCUUUCACCGAAGAGGAAAGAAAAUCUUCCAAGCGGACAGAGACCUCAAUUUCCAUUAGAUUCAUUCCUAAGCUUGCUUUGUUCCAGCAAGAUGAUCAGUCCGAGAGGGCUGGAGAGAAAGCGGUAAAAACCUCUCUGAUUCGGUCACCGAGCAGUCGGACGACUUUUCAGUAAGCCAGGAUGACCCCUUCGACGCUUCUUUCGCUGUAUACCCCCUACAUCCUUCGGAGGUGUAAGAAAGGGUACUAUAUAUAUUAUAUCUAUCUAUAUAGAGUCAGUAGGGCCCCAGAACGCUAAAUAAAAAGGUGGGGGAACAAGA
RNAcentral lists this long non-coding RNA (443 nucleotides) under Ricinus communis (castor bean). RNAcentral describes it as "long non-coding RNA (RCOM_LNC003342)". Lineage: Eukaryota; Viridiplantae; Streptophyta; Magnoliopsida; Malpighiales; Euphorbiaceae. The record is from RNAcentral.